AUACAUCUCAAAGACACAAAUCGAAUACACUUACAAUUACAUUGCUCUUGCUCUAAGACUCUUUCCAUGCUACUGUGACAUUGAUCCAUCUGUCCAAAUAAAACAUCAAUAACAUCAUAAGAUAAAGAAUGAUACAACAUAAGAUAAAGAGUGACACACCAAAAAAAAGUUACUAAAAUUCAGUAGACUUUAGAUUUUAGACUUUUUAAUAAUAGAAGUAGACUAGCUAUGACCCAAUUAUAACUACCAAACUUUUGCAUUACAAAGAACCCAUCCUUAAA
This 281-nucleotide long non-coding RNA is filed under the name Lathyrus oleraceus (garden pea). RNAcentral describes it as "Pisum sativum (pea) long non-coding RNA (PSAT_LNC002487)". The record is from RNAcentral. Lineage: Eukaryota; Viridiplantae; Streptophyta; Magnoliopsida; Fabales; Fabaceae.